This 238-nucleotide ribosomal RNA is filed under the name uncultured bacterium. RNAcentral's name for it is "partial 16S ribosomal RNA". It matches the Rfam family "Bacterial small subunit ribosomal RNA", at positions 15 to 249 of the family's 1533-position model. The record is from RNAcentral.
GAUCAUGGCUCAGGAUGAACGCUAGCGGCAGGCUUAACACAUGCAAGUCGAGGGGCAGCGGGGUGUAGCAAUACACUGCCGGCGACCGGCGCACGGGUGCGUAACGCGUAUGCAACCUACCCAUAACAGGGGCAUAACACUGAGAAAUUGGUACUAAUUCCCCAUAACAUUCGAAGAGGCAUCUCUUUGGGUUGAAAACUCCGGUGGUUAUGGAUGGGCAUGCGUUGUAUUAGAUAGG